RNAcentral lists this ribosomal RNA (1716 nucleotides) under Wolbachia endosymbiont of Drosophila bocki. RNAcentral's name for it is "partial 23S ribosomal RNA". It matches the Rfam family "Bacterial large subunit ribosomal RNA", at positions 1 to 1541 of the family's 2925-position model. The record is from RNAcentral. Lineage: Bacteria; Pseudomonadati; Pseudomonadota; Alphaproteobacteria; Rickettsiales; Anaplasmataceae.
UUUCAAGUCUUUAAGAGCAAACGGUGGAUGCCUUGGCAUCUGGAGCCGAAGAAGGACGUAGCAAUCUGCGAUAAGCCUCGGGGAACUGAUAAGCAAGUUUUGAUCCGAGGGUGUCCGAAUGGGGAAACCCCGCUGGGCGGCGUGCCGACCUAGUGACUCCCGCCUGAAUAUAUAGGGCGGGUAGAGGGAACGUGGGGAAGUGAAACAUCUCAGUACCCACAGGAAGAGAAAGCAACCGCGAUUCCGUUAGUAGUGGCGAGCGAAACCGGAACAGGCUAAACCGAGCGUGUGUGAUAGCCGGCAGGCGUUGCACGUUGGGGGUUGUGGGACUUUUCAGUCAUCUCUGCCGAGGUGGCGGCGUUACAAGAAGGUAUAGACGAACGGUCUUGAAAGGCCGGUCAUAGAGGGUGCCAACCCCGUAGUCGAAAUGCUUCUCUUGGCGCGAAGAGUAUCCCAAGUAGCACGGGGCCCGUGAAAUCCCGUGUGAAUCUGUCAGGACCACCUGAUAAGCCUAAAUACUCCCAGAUGACCGAUAGCGGACAAGUACCGUGAGGGAAAGGUGAAAAGUACCCCGGGAGGGGAGUGAAAUAGUACCUGAAACCGUUUGCUUACAAACCGUUGGAGCCUCCUUAGUAGGGGUGACAGCGUGCCUUUUGAAGAAUGAGCCUGCGAGUUAGCGAUAUGUGGCGAGGUUAACCCGUGUGGGGUAGCCGUAGCGAAAGCGAGUCUGAAUAGGGCGAUUCAGUCGCAUGUCCUAGACCCGAAGCGAAGUGAUCUAUCCAUGGCCAGGUUGAAGCGACGGUAAGACGUCGUGGAGGACCGAACCCACUUAGGUUGAAAACUGAGGGGAUGAGCUGUGGAUAGGGGUGAAAGGCCAAUCAAACUUCGUGAUAGCUGGUUCUCUCCGAAAUGCAUUUAGGUGCAGCGUUGCGUGUUUCUUGCCGGAGGUAGAGCUACUGGAUGGCCGAUGGGCCCUACAAGGUUACUGACGUCAGCCAAACUCCGAAUGCCGGUAAGUGAGAGCGCAGCAGUGAGACUGUGGGGGAUAAGCUUCAUAGUCGAGAGGGAAACAACCCAGACCACCAACUAAGGUCCCAAAGCGCGUGCUAAGUGGGAAAGGAUGUGGAGUUGCUCUGACAACCAGGAGGUUGGCUUAGAAGCAGCCACCCUUGAAAGAGUGCGUAAUAGCUCACUGGUCAAGUGAUUCCGCGCCGACAAUGUAACGGGGCUCAAGCACGCCACCGAAGUUGUGGCAUUGACAUUAUUGGUAGGCCUUCGUGGUCCAGCCGUGUUGAUGGGUAGGAGAGCGUCGUGUGGCCAGCGAAGCGGCGGUGGAAACCAGCCGUGGAGGCUACACGAGUGAGAAUGCAGGCAUGAGUAGCGAAUGACGUGUGAGAAACACGUCCUCCGAAAGACCAAGGGUUCCAGGGUCAAGCUAAUCUUCCCUGGGUAAGUCGGGACCUAAGGCGAGGCCGACAGGCGUAGUCGAUGGACAACGGGUUGAUAUUCCCGUACCGGCGAAGAACCGCCCAAGCUAAUCCAGUAGUGCUAAGUGUCUGAAUCCCAGUGACUGAUCCCUUCGGGGUGACGCUCUGGGCCUAGCGCACGACCCCAUGCUGGUGCGGUUAGCGUAUUAACAGGUGUGACGCAGGAAGGUAGCCCAAGCCAGGCGAUGGUUGUCCUGGUGCAAGUGCGUAGGCCGAGUCGUAGGCAAAU